AACGCGAAGAACCUUACCUGGGCUCGAAAUGCAGGAGACCGGGGUAGAAAUAUCCUUUCCUCGCAAGAGGCUGCUGUAUAGGUGCUGCAUGGCUGUCGUCAGCUCGUGUCGUGAGAUGUUGGGUUAAGUCCCGCAACGAGCGCAACCCUCAUCCCUAGUUGCCACCGGGUAAUGCCGAGCACUCUAGUGAAACCGCCCCGGAUAACGGGGAGGAAGGUGGGGAUGACGUCAAGUCCUCAUGGCCUUUAUGUCCAGGGCUACACACGUGCUACAAUGGUCGGUACAAACCGUCGCAAAGCCGCAAGGUGGAGCUAAUCGGAUAAAGUCUGUCUCAGUUCGGAUAGCAGGCUGCAACUCGCCUGCUUGAAGUUGGAAUCGCUAGUAAUCGCGGAUCAGCACGCCGCGGUGAAUACGUUCCCGGGCCUUGUACACACCGCAUAC
This 441-nucleotide ribosomal RNA is filed under the name uncultured bacterium. Its description in RNAcentral is "bacterial SSU rRNA". It matches the Rfam family "Bacterial small subunit ribosomal RNA", at positions 958 to 1397 of the family's 1533-position model. The record is from RNAcentral.